This 460-nucleotide ribosomal RNA is filed under the name uncultured bacterium. RNAcentral's name for it is "partial 16S ribosomal RNA". It matches the Rfam family "Bacterial small subunit ribosomal RNA", at positions 338 to 795 of the family's 1533-position model. The record is from RNAcentral.
CCUACGGGGGGCUGCAGUGAGGAAUAUUGGUCAAUGGACGAGAGUCUGAACCAGCCAAGUAGCGUGAAGGAUGACUGCCCUAUGGGUUGUAAACUUCUUUUAUAUGGGAAUAAAACGUUCCACGUGUGGGAUUUUGUAUGUACCAUAUGAAUAAGGAUCGGCUAACUCCGUGCCAGCAGCCGCGGUAAUACGGAGGAUCCGAGCGUUAUCCGGAUUUAUUGGGUUUAAAGGGAGCGUAGGUGGAUUGUUAAGUCAGUUGUGAAAGUUUGCGGCUCAACCGUAAAAUUGCAGUUGAAACUGGCAGUCUUGAGUACAGUAGAGGUGGGCGGGAUUCGUGGUGUAGCGGUGAAAUGCUUAGAUAUCACGAAGAACUCCGAUUGCGAAGGCAGUUCACUGGACUGCAACUGACACUGAGGCUCGAAAGUGUGGGUAUCAAACAGGAUUAGAUACCCCAGUAGUC